GAUGAACGCUAGCUACAGGUCUUAACACAUGCAAGUCGAGGGGCAUCGGGAAGAAAGCUUGCUUUCUUUGCUGGCGACCGGCGCACGGGUGAGUAACACGUAUCCAACCUGCCCUUUACUCGGGGAUAGCCUUUCGAAAGAAAGAUUAAUACCCGAUAGCAUAAUGAUUCCGCAUGGUUUCAUUAUUAAAGGAUUCCGGUAAAGGAUGGGGAUGCGUUCCAUUAGGUUGUUGGUGAGGUAACGGCUCACCAAGCCUUCGAUGGAUAGGGGUUCUGAGAGGAAGGUCCCCCACAUUGGAACUGAGACACGGUCCAAACUCCUACGGGAGGCAGCAGUGAGGAAUAUUGGUCAAUGGGCGUUAGCCUGAACCAGCCAAGUAGCGUGAAGGAUGAAGGCUCUAUGGGUCGUAAACUUCUUUUAUAUAAGAAUAAAGUGCAGUAUGUAUACUGUUUUGUAUGUAUUAUAUGAAUAAGGAUCGGCUAACUCCGUGCCAGCAGCCGCGGUAAUACGGAGGAUCCGAGCGUUAUCCGGAUUUAUUGGGUUUAAAGGGAGCGUAGGUGGACUGGUAAGUCAGUUGUGAAAGUUUGCGGCUCAACCGUAAAAUUGCAGUUGAUACUGUCAGUCUUGAGUACAGUAGAGGUGGGCGGAAUUCGUGGUGUAGCGGUGAAAUGCUUAGAUAUCACGAAGAACUCCGAUUGCGAAGGCAGCUCACUGGACUGCAACUGACACUGAUGCUCGAAAGUGUGGGUAUCANACAGG
This 759-nucleotide ribosomal RNA is filed under the name uncultured bacterium. Its description in RNAcentral is "bacterial SSU rRNA". It matches the Rfam family "Bacterial small subunit ribosomal RNA", at positions 28 to 776 of the family's 1533-position model. The record is from RNAcentral.